UACGGGGGGGGUAAGCGUUGUUCGGAAUUACUGGGCGUAAAGGGCUCGUAGGCGGCCAACUAAGUCAGACGUGAAAUCCCUCAGCUUAACUGGGGAACUGCGUCUGAUACUGGAUGGCUUGGAUCCGGAAGAGGGAUGCGGAAUUCCAGGUGUAGCGGUGAAAUGCGUAGAUAUCUGGAGGAACAUCGGUGGCGAAGGCGGCAUCCUGGACCGGUAUUGACGCUGAGGCGCGAAAGCUAGGGGAGCAAACGGG
RNAcentral lists this ribosomal RNA (253 nucleotides) under uncultured bacterium. RNAcentral describes it as "partial 16S ribosomal RNA". It matches the Rfam family "Bacterial small subunit ribosomal RNA", at positions 524 to 776 of the family's 1533-position model. The record is from RNAcentral.